UGCAACUCGACUACACGAAGCCGGAAUCGCUAGUAAUCGCGAAUCAGAAUGUCGCGGUGAAUACGUUCCCGGGUCUUGUACACACCGCCCGUCACACCAUGGGAGUCUGCAAUGCCCGAAGCCGGUGGCCUAACCACUUAUGUGGAAGGAGCCGUCUAAGGCAGGGCAGAUGACUGGGGUGAAGUCGUAACAAGGUAAC
This 199-nucleotide ribosomal RNA is filed under the name uncultured bacterium. RNAcentral's name for it is "partial 16S ribosomal RNA". It matches the Rfam family "Bacterial small subunit ribosomal RNA", at positions 1306 to 1500 of the family's 1533-position model. The record is from RNAcentral.